Molecule: ribosomal RNA, 253 nt
Filed under: uncultured bacterium
Lineage: Bacteria
Description: partial 16S ribosomal RNA
Rfam family: Bacterial small subunit ribosomal RNA
Source: RNAcentral
UACGAAGGGGGCUAGCGUUGCUCGGAAUCACUGGGCGUAAAGCGCACGUAGGCGGAUCUUUAAGUCAGGGGUGAAAUCCCAAGGCUCAACCUUGGAACUGCCUUUGAUACUGGGGAUCUCGAGUCCGGAAGAGGUUGGUGGAACUGCGAGUGUAGAGGUGAAAUUCGUAGAUAUUCGCAAGAACACCAGUGGCGAAGGCGGCUCACUGGCCCGAUACUGACGCUGAGGCACGAAAGCGUGGGGAGCAAACAGG